This 458-nucleotide unclassified non-coding RNA is filed under the name fungal sp. Its description in RNAcentral is "partial internal transcribed spacer region". The stretch from base 1 to 63 matches the Rfam family "Eukaryotic small subunit ribosomal RNA", at positions 1769 to 1831 of the family's 1831-position model. Lineage: Eukaryota; Fungi. The record is from RNAcentral.
CUUGUUAGAGGAAGUAAAAGUCGUAACAAGGUUUCCGUAGGUGAACCUGCGGAAGGAUCAUUAGUGGAAAGUUUACUUUACACUUUAAACCAACAUUGUGAACCAUUAGCCAGGUAUGUUCUCUAGCCAGGCCCGUAAGGGGAGGCAAGAGCCGGGAUCGCAGGUCGCAGAAGUCAUUUUUCGCAAGAAGAGUGGUCGGAUGUAGGCUCAGUGGGGGGUAGGAAUCUUAAUCUCUUUAGUGGGAGCGGUGAACUACCUAUUCAACUCAUUGAUCUCCUGUGGUUUGAGGGUGUACUACCAUCAGUUGGUCUUCGGAUUAGCUCCAGUGUAGUGCCGGUAUAUCGUACGUUAAUAACUAAACCCGUGAGUGACGCAUGCUAGUUUAUAUUAUUGCCUAAAAAACCCUCAAUAUUUAUAUUGAACCAAUACAACCUAUAACAAUGGAUCUCUAGGCUCCU